This 23-nucleotide unclassified non-coding RNA is filed under the name Arabidopsis thaliana (thale cress). Lineage: Eukaryota; Viridiplantae; Streptophyta; Magnoliopsida; Brassicales; Brassicaceae. The record is from RNAcentral.
UAGAGAGUAAACAAAGGGGAACA